RNAcentral lists this long non-coding RNA (459 nucleotides) under Homo sapiens (human). RNAcentral describes it as "HSALNT0323573". The record is from RNAcentral. Lineage: Eukaryota; Metazoa; Chordata; Mammalia; Primates; Hominidae.
CCCCCCAAGUCUCAAAUAUUGAAGAAUCUCUAACCAGGGACACCAGUCCCUACGAAGACCUUGGGCGAUUUUGAAGUGCGGGCACCUCGAUUCCCCGAAUCUGUAGUGUGGCUGGUAUCGGUGUUCCCCUGGUUUAACUAGCCUGUUUGAUGGGGAAAUUGAGGCAGAGAAGCCAAGACAUGUGCUAAAGGUCAUGCAGGCUAUGAAUGGAGCUGGAAUGUGAACGCAGGCCAUAUGACCCCAGAGCCCAUGUUCUUGAACCCUUAGAAAGACAGCAGCAACACACCUGGUGCAGCAGCUGCUUAGUUGGAGUGGCUGACAAGGUUGGCAGAGGAUCCCGUUCCUCCCGUGGAGUGGCUGCCAUGAUACUGCCUGCACUGAAGCUGCUCCUAUUUCUGAAAUAUGUAUUGUUAUUUUUUUCCCUGCAUGUUGAACAUUAUACUCUUCUGUUCUUUCGCA